GAUGAACGCUGGCGGCGUGCCUAAUACAUGCAAGUCGAGCGAACAGAUGAGGAGCUUGCUCCUCUGACGUUAGCGGCGGACGGGUGAGUAACACGUGGAUAACCUACCUAUAAGACUGGGAUAACUUCGGGAAACCGGAGCUAAUACCGGAUAAUAUAUUGAACCGCAUGGUUCAAUAGUGAAAGACGGUUUUGCUGUCACUUAUAGAUGGAUCCGCGCCGCAUUAGCUAGUUGGUAAGGUAACGGCUUACCAAGGCAACGAUGCGUAGCCGACCUGAGAGGGUGAUCGGCCACACUGGAACUGAGACACGGCCCAGACGCCUACGGGAGGCAGCAGUAGGGAAUCUUCCGCAAUGGGCGAAAGCCUGACGGAGCAACGCCGCGUGAGUGAUGAAGGUCUUCGGAUCGUAAAACUCUGUUAUUAGGGAAGAACAAAUGUGUAAGUAACUAUGCACGUCUUGACGGUACCUAAUCAGAAAGCCACGGCUAACUACGUG
RNAcentral lists this ribosomal RNA (497 nucleotides) under uncultured bacterium. Its description in RNAcentral is "partial 16S ribosomal RNA". It matches the Rfam family "Bacterial small subunit ribosomal RNA", at positions 28 to 507 of the family's 1533-position model. The record is from RNAcentral.